Molecule: long non-coding RNA, 516 nt
Filed under: Brassica rapa (field mustard)
Lineage: Eukaryota; Viridiplantae; Streptophyta; Magnoliopsida; Brassicales; Brassicaceae
Description: long non-coding RNA (BRAP_LNC002414)
Source: RNAcentral
CGAUAUCAUGCCUUUGAGAUGUUAGAGACCAGUGCGCUGGGUUUAGGGCAAGACCUAGGUUUACUUUCGGUUUAAGGAUUGUGCGGUGACUAACCGGCUAUCGUUUUUCCUGUCGCGAUUUCUUCCUGAUUCGUAUCGAUGUAAAGUCUGCGAAAAGUUCUCGGCUUAUACGACUUGUUUGAUACGAAUCGAGCAUCUCUCCGGAGACCGGAAGUGCUAGACCAAAAUUUCGGAUUUCUUUUAUAGCGCUAUUAUCCUUGUGUCGGAUGUAAGAGAGUCAUCUUCGUGAGAUGUCUAUGUCUGUUUAGGACGUUUAUGAGUUCGAUGUGAUCAGCAUCGGACUUGGUGGUGUGUGCUGUUGUUUUGAUUAUUUUGCGCAAAAUAAAUGUUAAUGUGUGCAUGUAUGUGUCUUUUUGCGGAGAUUUCGUUUGCUCGGAAGAAACCAACUUUGAGGCAUCUUUUGCGACGUCUCGCGAUGCUAAAGGUUGAUUCUCCCAAGCGGCCGACUGAUUUCCG